Molecule: ribosomal RNA, 490 nt
Filed under: uncultured bacterium
Lineage: Bacteria
Description: partial 16S ribosomal RNA
Rfam family: Bacterial small subunit ribosomal RNA
Source: RNAcentral
AGUGAACGCUGGCGGUAGGCCUAACACAUGCAAGUCGAACAGCAGCACAGGAGAGCUUGCUCUCUAGGUGGCGAGUGGCGGACGGGUGAGGAAUACAUCGGAAUCUGCCCAGUCGUGGGGGAUAACGUAGGGAAACUUACGCUAAUACCGCAUACGGCCUUCGGGUGAAAGAGGGGGAUCGCAAGACCUCUCGCGAUUGGAUGAGCCGAUGUCGGAUUAGCUAGUUAGCGGGGUAAUGGCCCACCAAGGCGACGAUCCGUAGCUGGUCUGAGAGGAUGAUCAGCCACACUGGAACUGAGACACGGUCCAGACUCCUACGGGAGGCAGCAGUGGGGAAUAUUGGACAAUGGGCGCAAGCCUGAUCCAGCCAUACCGCGUGGGUGAAGAAGGCCUUCGGGUUGUAAAGCCCUUUUGUUGGGAAAGAAAUCUUUCAGGCUAAUACCCUGGGAGGAUGACGGUACCCAAAGAAUAAGCACCGGCUAACUUCGUG